This 1602-nucleotide long non-coding RNA is filed under the name Ictidomys tridecemlineatus (thirteen-lined ground squirrel). RNAcentral's name for it is "lncRNA (ENSSTOG00000032269.1)". The record is from RNAcentral. Lineage: Eukaryota; Metazoa; Chordata; Mammalia; Rodentia; Sciuridae.
GUUUGAGUGGAAAAAUUGAUUAUUUCUCUCUGUUUUAAAGACAGAACCAAAUGAAAUACAAGCAAACAAGUUUGAGACGUAAACCUUAACAGUCCUGGGAGGACAUCAGUGUUUGAUGCUUGAAUGAGGGGAAGGAAGCACAGCUGUGUUAACUGCUUUCACAAAUUUAAUCUUAGACCUCCAAACCUGGCAGAAAAGAGACUGCAGCGGCACAGUCUGAGCCCCGCGGGGGAACUGGGCAGCACAGUAGCUGCGGGAAGGACUUCCACCCAGGACGCAGCGGCCAAGCCCCUGCAGCCUGGAAGCCUGCCACCUGUUUUCCGCAAGGCCACCCGCUGACUAUGGAAGAGCCACAUUCCCUGGCGCAAUUUUAAUGUAGAAAGACACAUUUAGAAAUAAAGUGGUGUCAGUGCUCAGGCUUGGAAGUAAGUCUGUUGGGAUUUCAUUUCUCUCUGUGGUUUCUCUUCCCUGAUUUCACUUUCUUCAUUUUCAUAGGCUUGUUUUAAGUAUUAAAGGGUAAAAUCAAUCUGAAGUGCUUAGCACAUUGCCUGGAACAUAGCUAAGUAGUGAAUACUCGUUAAGUGCUUUUAUGAUGAUUAUUAGAAAUGCGAUUUUAUUAUAAUGGCUUGAGGAAUGUGUUCAAGAUCCAGAGUAACAAAAAUUAGAUAAUAUUCAAGGGUAGCAUGAUCAUGCUGAAAGCAUCAUCUCAAUGGAAUAUUUUUCUAAUUCAGUGCAUAAGAAUUUCAGGUGGCAUUUAAUUUACACAAAGUACCACAGUUUAUUCAAGUACCAGAAUGAUGAUUUUAGAAUCUUUAGAGAAUGCAAUAUAUUUAUGUGAAGUCAUGUAGUGUUUUAGAAAAUUAUAUAUUGGCACUAUUCAUACUCCCAAGUUUACUUUUUUUUUUUUUAACUCAAAGAUAUUUGUGGUUAUUGGAAAGUCAGUAACUCAGAGUGGCUCUUCCAGUCACUGAAAAUAUCAUGAGGUUUAUUCUCUGAAUAUAAGAAAUAUUCUCUAGCUUAUUUUUCAUUACGCAUUGUCUUCAACUUCAGUAAAGGAAAGGAUCUCUUGUUUACUGACUUGACAGACCUCUUCUAGUUAUUUUUAACAUAUUUUUACCAAAUAUUACAUAUUUUACAUGUUGGUUCUUCUCUUUCUCAAAGUAACUCAUGGUCAUGCUAGCAAAUUACAAAACGAAAAAUUGAAAUUGUAAAAAAUUCACUUAUCACAUAACUUUGAUAAUUUCCUUAGACUUAGUAGGCCAACUAAUUAUAUUUAAAUUUUAAUUGCUUUGAUUAUGCAAUAUUGUCCAAUUUUUCACAUCCCAAAUGUUACAUAUACAUUCAAUUCUAUUAGAUAUUAACUCUUUAUAAACAUAUUUUAAUAAUUCAUAAUGGUACCAGGAUUAUACCUGUCACAGGACAGGUUCUUUUUCAUUGUUCAAUUAGUAGAUUGUUUUUAAUUUCUCAUUGUAAAUAAUUUGAAAUGAAUAUAUUAUUCCUUAUUUUCUUCCUUCCUUUAGUAGUAUAUUUUCUGUAUACUUUUAUUCCACAUUUUUCAUCGCUAUCUUUAUUCUUAUCCAUGAUUAAAAUAUAUUAGUUUAU